RNAcentral lists this ribosomal RNA (301 nucleotides) under uncultured bacterium. RNAcentral describes it as "partial 16S ribosomal RNA". It matches the Rfam family "Bacterial small subunit ribosomal RNA", at positions 509 to 809 of the family's 1533-position model. The record is from RNAcentral.
CAGUCGCCGCGGGAACACGAAGGGUGCAAGCGUUACUCGGAAUUACUGGGCGUAAAGCGUGCGUAGGUGGUGGUUUAAGUCCGUUGUGAAAGCCCUGGGCUCAACCUGGGAAUUGCAGUGGAUACUGGGUCACUAGAGUGUGGUAGAGGAUAGUGGAAUUUCCGGUGUAGCAGUGAAAUGCGUAGAGAUCGGAAGGAACAUCUGUGGCGAAGGCGACUAUCUGGGCCAACACUGACACUGAGGCACGAAAGCGUGGGGAGCAAACAGGAUUAGAUACCCCUGUAGUCCCUGUCUCUUAUAA